UGUGAUAGAUAGCAAAUGGCAGAAUAGAUGU
This 31-nucleotide non-coding RNA is filed under the name Mus musculus (house mouse). Lineage: Eukaryota; Metazoa; Chordata; Mammalia; Rodentia; Muridae. The record is from RNAcentral.